GUGAUUUACAGAUAAACUAUGCAAUUAGUUUUUGUUUUCAUCUUCAUGCAUGUGCCGCAAGAUUUGAUAUGACAGAGAAUCUUGAUUUUUUGUUUUUGUUUUUGAGGUGAACGGGCCUGUUUAGAUUGGGAACGAAAAUUUUUUGGGUGUCACAUCGGAUGUGUCGAAAGGAUGUCGGGAGAGGUUUUUAGAAACUAAUAAAAAAACAAAUUACAUAGCUCGUCAGGAAACUGCAAGAUAAAUUUAUUAAGCAUAAUUAAUCUGUCAUUAGCAUAUGUAGGUUACUGUAGCACUUAAGGCUAAUCAUGGAGUAACUAGGCUUAAAAGAUUCGUCUCGCGAUUUUCAAUUAAACUGUGUAAUUAGUUUAUUUUUUAUCUACAUUUAAUGUUCUAUGCACAUGUCCAA
Molecule: long non-coding RNA, 406 nt
Filed under: Sorghum bicolor (sorghum)
Lineage: Eukaryota; Viridiplantae; Streptophyta; Magnoliopsida; Poales; Poaceae
Description: long non-coding RNA (SBIC_LNC010773)
Source: RNAcentral